Molecule: non-coding RNA, 521 nt
Organism: Drosophila melanogaster (fruit fly)
Lineage: Eukaryota; Metazoa; Arthropoda; Insecta; Diptera; Drosophilidae
Source: Ensembl
UCGCCUGUGUUGUGGGUCACACAGAACAUCCGAAGUAGAUAAGAAAACGGCUGCCAAGUAAAAGGCAGUCGCAUGAAAAGCAAAGGAAAGAGAGAGAGAGACGAAUGCAAAAUAUGCCGCUAUACCAAGUGCAAUGAACUUUGGGUGGGCGCCGCUGCCAGCGGAAAACUCUGCUGCCGCUCAAAAGCGACGACAAAACAGCGAUGGAAAAACGACGACAGAACAGCACGGCACAGCACAGAACUCAACUGAAAAGCCAAGCAAAGCAAAAGCACAGCAAAUGCACAGCAAAAGCAACGAAGUCAAGCAAGUUCUAGUUGAGGCAGGCCACCAAAGACCGAAGAACUGCGAAGAACUCGGGCCCAGACCAAAAACAGAGCAUGCAUGUCAUUAUAAAAGUCUAGAAAUAUCGUUUGGACACUGGAAAAAAAUAUGCAGUCCGAACAUAGAGGCAGCGAAAUGCUAAACAAAUUAUUCUACAUAUAGCUUUCCAGUUAUAAAAUUGUAUGAAUCAAUAAAGC